AUUGAACGCUGGCGGCAUGCCUUACACAUGCAAGUCGAACGGUAACGAGCCUUCGGGUGCCGACGAGUGGCGAACGGGUGAGUAAUACAUCGGAACGUGCCCGAUCGUGGGGGAUAACGAGGCGAAAGCUUUGCUAAUACCGCAUACGAUCUACGGAUGAAAGCAGGGGACCGCAAGGCCUUGCGCGGACGGAGCGGCCGAUGGCAGAUUAGGUAGUUGGUGGGAUGAAAGCUUACCAAGCCGACGAUCUGUAGCUGGUCUGAGAGGAUGAUCAGCCACACUGGGACUGAGACACGGCCCAGACUCCUACGGGAGGCAGCAGUGGGGAAUUUUGGACAAUGGGCGCAAGCCUGAUCCAGCCAUGCCGCGUGCAGGAUGAAGGCCUUCGGGUUGUAAACUGCUUUUGUACGGAACGAAAAGCCUUCUUUUAAUACAGGAGGGUCAUGACGGUACCGUAAGAAUAAGCACCGGCUAACUACGU
RNAcentral lists this ribosomal RNA (481 nucleotides) under uncultured bacterium. RNAcentral describes it as "partial 16S ribosomal RNA". It matches the Rfam family "Bacterial small subunit ribosomal RNA", at positions 30 to 506 of the family's 1533-position model. The record is from RNAcentral.